This 614-nucleotide long non-coding RNA is filed under the name Phasianus colchicus (ring-necked pheasant). RNAcentral describes it as "lncRNA (ENSPCLG00000021104.1)". Lineage: Eukaryota; Metazoa; Chordata; Aves; Galliformes; Phasianidae. The record is from RNAcentral.
AUGGGGAGCGGGCUCGCUGUCCUGAAGUACUCUCCCGCACUUCGUGGUGGGGACAGCGUGUGCCAGCCUCCAGUUAGCGGCUGUGACAGGCCGCCGCGGAGCGCGCGCCUCAGCUCUCCCCUCCUGAGCUGCGGAGAUGACAAGGAACGCGCACCUCCGUGUCCCUGCGAGAAAACAACCCAGUGGGUUCCUCAAGCCUGCAUUGUCCAUGAGCACCAUUUGGGAAUGGAGCAGAGGAGAGCUGGACCAUUGAUGCUUGUAAAACCUGCUGCUCAACUGAAGUAUGGAGUCCCAUUGUGUGCAAGUGCCGUGAAGGGGAACUGUUGGAUCACAGCCUGAACUCUGAUUGACCACCUGAGGCGAGAACUGAGUCAGCUGUGGGAGCACAGGUGGAGGCAAUUUACCUGUGUGAUCAGAAGGGGUGGAGCCUGGUUGUGGACCUGGUCCUGGUUAAGUGGACCCCACUUAAGGGCUGACUUCCUCCUGAAGAAGGUUCUCUUUCUGGAGAUUGCUUCUUGUGGCGUUUAUUGUGAGGCUUACGACACCAGUGAGUACUUUGCAUUUAUUUUUUAUUAUCUUUUCCAAUGGGGUAAUCUUACUAAGCCUAACUUUUU